UACUGUAGAGGAUGCACUACACAGGAUGCUGUAGGUACAGGUGUACCAUGCAUACCCGGGUGCAUCUACAGCAUGUACUAUGCUACGUCCUAGCUACUGCAUGUAGCAGUACCAGCUGUACGUACUGGCUGUAGCUGUACAGCUGAUAGCAUAGCGUACUCACAUGGGUAGCUACAUGCUCAUAGUGCUAGCUGUGCAUACCACUGCAUGUACCCUUAGAUGCUACUACUGGUAGAGCUGUGUAUCAUGUCACUGGUGUACUGCGUGUACUGCUACUAGCUAUCCAUACGUAGGGUCUAAGUACCCAGCAUGAGUACACAGAGCAUCCACAGCAUGAGUACAGGUAUACAGUAUACUGUACCGCUGUCCUGCAUGGCAUGCUCUAGAGUACCUACCACCUGCAUAGCUAUGGGCUGACUGUCCCAUGACGCUAUCACCAUCCAGGGCUACGUACACCAUGUGGAGCACCUACGGGUACUCAGUAGCUGGAUCAUACGUACUGAGCAUGCGUUGCAUCAGUCGUACUACAGCUCU
Molecule: ribosomal RNA, 534 nt
Filed under: Diplonema papillatum
Lineage: Eukaryota; Euglenozoa; Diplonemea; Diplonemida; Diplonemidae
Description: partial large subunit ribosomal RNA
Source: RNAcentral